This 2355-nucleotide ribosomal RNA is filed under the name Salmonella enterica subsp. enterica serovar Montevideo str. MB110209-0055. Its description in RNAcentral is "bacterial LSU rRNA". It matches the Rfam family "Bacterial large subunit ribosomal RNA", at positions 594 to 2925 of the family's 2925-position model. The record is from RNAcentral. Lineage: Bacteria; Pseudomonadati; Pseudomonadota; Gammaproteobacteria; Enterobacterales; Enterobacteriaceae.
UGACUGCGUACCUUUUGUAUAAUGGGUCAGCGACUUAUAUUCUGUAGCAAGGUUAACCGAAUAGGGGAGCCGGAGGGAAACCGAGUCUUAAUUGGGCGUUAAGUUGCAGGGUAUAGACCCGAAACCCGGUGAUCUAGCCAUGGGCAGGUUGAAGGUUGGGUAACACUAACUGGAGGACCGAACCGACUAAUGUUGAAAAAUUAGCGGAUGACCUGUGGCUGGGGGUGAAAGGCCAAUCAAACCGGGAGAUAGCUGGUUCUCCCCGAAAGCUAUUUAGGUAGCGCCUCGUGAAUUCAUCUCCGGGGGUAGAGCACUGUUUCGGCUAGGGGGCCAUCCCGGCUUACCAACCCGAUGCAAACUGCGAAUACCGGAGAAUGUUAUCACGGGAGACACACGGCGGGUGCUAACGUCCGUCGUGAAGAGGGAAACAACCCAGACCGCCAGCUAAGGUCCCAAAGUCAUGGUUAAGUGGGAAACGAUGUGGGAAGGCCCAGACAGCCAGGAUGUUGGCUUAGAAGCAGCCAUCAUUUAAAGAAAGCGUAAUAGCUCACUGGUCGAGUCGGCCUGCGCGGAAGAUGUAACGGGGCUAAACCAUGCACCGAAGCUGCGGCAGCGACACUCAGGUGUUGUUGGGUAGGGGAGCGUUCUGUAAGCCUGCGAAGGUGGCCUGUGAGGGUUGCUGGAGGUAUCAGAAGUGCGAAUGCUGACAUAAGUAACGAUAAAGCGGGUGAAAAGCCCGCUCGCCGGAAGACCAAGGGUUCCUGUCCAACGUUAAUCGGGGCAGGGUGAGUCGACCCCUAAGGCGAGGCCGAAAGGCGUAGUCGAUGGGAAACGGGUUAAUAUUCCCGUACUUGGUGUUACUGCGAAGGGGGGACGGAGAAGGCUAUGUUGGCCGGGCGACGGUUGUCCCGGUUUAAGCGUGUAGGUGUGUGUUCCAGGCAAAUCCGGUUCACUUUAACACUGAGGCGUGACGACGAGGCACUACGGUGCUGAAGCAACAAAUGCCCUGCUUCCAGGAAAAGCCUCUAAGCAUCAGGUAACAUCAAAUCGUACCCCAAACCGACACAGGUGGUCAGGUAGAGAAUACCAAGGCGCUUGAGAGAACUCGGGUGAAGGAACUAGGCAAAAUGGUGCCGUAACUUCGGGAGAAGGCACGCUGACAUGUAGGUGAAGUGAUUUACUCAUGGAGCUGAAGUCAGUCGAAGAUACCAGCUGGCUGCAACUGUUUAUUAAAAACACAGCACUGUGCAAACACGAAAGUGGACGUAUACGGUGUGACGCCUGCCCGGUGCCGGAAGGUUAAUUGAUGGGGUCAGCGCAAGCGAAGCUCCUGAUCGAAGCCCCGGUAAACGGCGGCCGUAACUAUAACGGUCCUAAGGUAGCGAAAUUCCUUGUCGGGUAAGUUCCGACCUGCACGAAUGGCGUAAUGAUGGCCAGGCUGUCUCCACCCGAGACUCAGUGAAAUUGAACUCGCUGUGAAGAUGCAGUGUACCCGCGGCAAGACGGAAAGACCCCGUGAACCUUUACUAUAGCUUGACACUGAACAUUGAGCCUUGAUGUGUAGGAUAGGUGGGAGGCUUUGAAGUGUGGACGCCAGUCUGCAUGGAGCCGACCUUGAAAUACCACCCUUUAAUGUUUGAUGUUCUAACGUGGACCCGUGAUCCGGGUUGCGGACAGUGUCUGGUGGGUAGUUUGACUGGGGCGGUCUCCUCCUAAAGAGUAACGGAGGAGCACGAAGGUUGGCUAAUCCUGGUCGGACAUCAGGAGGUUAGUGCAAUGGCAUAAGCCAGCUUGACUGCGAGCGUGACGGCGCGAGCAGGUGCGAAAGCAGGUCAUAGUGAUCCGGUGGUUCUGAAUGGAAGGGCCAUCGCUCAACGGAUAAAAGGUACUCCGGGGAUAACAGGCUGAUACCGCCCAAGAGUUCAUAUCGACGGCGGUGUUUGGCACCUCGAUGUCGGCUCAUCACAUCCUGGGGCUGAAGUAGGUCCCAAGGGUAUGGCUGUUCGCCAUUUAAAGUGGUACGCGAGCUGGGUUUAGAACGUCGUGAGACAGUUCGGUCCCUAUCUGCCGUGGGCGCUGGAGAACUGAGGGGGGCUGCUCCUAGUACGAGAGGACCGGAGUGGACGCAUCACUGGUGUUCGGGUUGUCAUGCCAAUGGCACUGCCCGGUAGCUAAAUGCGGAAGAGAUAAGUGCUGAAAGCAUCUAAGCACGAAACUUGCCCCGAGAUGAGUUCUCCCUGAGACUUUAGGUCUCCUGAAGGAACGUUGAAGACGACGACGUUGAUAGGCCGGGUGUGUAAGCGCAGCGAUGCGUUGAGCUAACCGGUACUAAUGAACCGUGAGGCUUAACCUUAC